CACUACAGUAAUCCUGCUCAGUACAAGAUGAACUACAGGUUUAGACAUUCGGUGUGCUUGUCUGAGGAGCCAAUGGGGUGAAGCUACCAUCUGUAUAUUUUGACUGAAUGCCUCAACGAUAGAUUCCCCCCUAAAAGUG
Molecule: non-coding RNA, 139 nt
Organism: Pelobates cultripes (western spadefoot toad)
Lineage: Eukaryota; Metazoa; Chordata; Amphibia; Anura; Pelobatidae
Source: the annotation of a GenBank genome assembly